CCUACGGGGUGCAGCAGUGAGGAAUAUUGGUCAAUGGCCGCAGGGCUGAACCAGCCAAGUCGCGUGAGGGAUGACGGUCCUAUGGAUUGUAAACCUCUUUUGUCAGGGAGCAAAGGGCGCCACGUGUGGCGCUUUGCGAGUACCUGAAGAAAAAGCAUCGGCUAACUCCGUGCCAGCAGCCGCGGUAAUACGGAGGAUGCGAGCGUUAUCCGGAUUUAUUGGGUUUAAAGGGUGCGCAGGCGGAAUGUCAAGUCAGCGGUAAAAUUUCGGGGCUCAACCCCGUCGUGCCGUUGAAACUGGCGAUCUUGAGUGAGCGAGAAGUAUGCGGAAUGCGUGGUGUAGCGGUGAAAUGCAUAGAUAUCACGCAGAACUCCGAUUGCGAAGGCAGCAUACCGGCGCUCAACUGACGCUCAUGCACGAAAGCGUGGGUAUCGAACAGGAUUAGAUACCCCUGUAGUC
This 459-nucleotide ribosomal RNA is filed under the name uncultured bacterium. RNAcentral's name for it is "partial 16S ribosomal RNA". It matches the Rfam family "Bacterial small subunit ribosomal RNA", at positions 338 to 795 of the family's 1533-position model. The record is from RNAcentral.